RNAcentral lists this ribosomal RNA (476 nucleotides) under uncultured bacterium. RNAcentral describes it as "SSU rRNA". It matches the Rfam family "Bacterial small subunit ribosomal RNA", at positions 26 to 518 of the family's 1533-position model. The record is from RNAcentral.
AGGACGAACGCUGGCGGCGUGCUUAACACAUGCAAGUCGAACGGAAAGGCCCGCUUGCGGGUACUCGAGUGGCGAACGGGUGAGUAACACGUGGGCAACCUGCCCUCAGCUUUGGGAUAACACAAAGAAAUUUGUGCUAAUACCGGAUAAUAGACGGCCGCGCAUGUGGUUGUUUUGAAAGUUUUUCGGCUGGGGAUGGGCCCGCGGCCUAUCAGCUUGUUGGUGGGGUAAUGGCCUACCAAGGCGACGACGGGUAGCCGGCCUGAGAGGGCGACCGGCCACACUGGAACUGAGACACGGUCCAGACUCCUACGGGAGGCAGCAGUGGGGAAUAUUGCGCAAUGGGCGGAAGCCUGACGCAGCGACGCCGCGUGAGGGAUGAAGGUCUUCGGAUUGUAAACCUCUUUCAGCAGGGACGAAGCGCAAGUGACGGUACCUGCAGAAGAAGCACCGGCCAACUACGCGCCAGCAGCCGC